RNAcentral lists this long non-coding RNA (983 nucleotides) under Mytilus galloprovincialis (Mediterranean mussel). The record is from RNAcentral. Lineage: Eukaryota; Metazoa; Mollusca; Bivalvia; Mytilida; Mytilidae.
GAUGUAAUUUGAGAAGGACACGAUUAUAAGACAUUCACCAAUGUUGUUUAGAUUCCUCAUCCUGGUAAGUGUCACUUUAAAAAAUAUUUUACAAAUGAAUAUACAAAUUUAGAAAUUAAAAAGUUAAAUUAGACACCAUCAAACCUGAGAAUUGUGCUAGACAACUACAUGUAAAGCUCAUAAAGAAAUAUAGUGUAAACUCAAGUGAUCUGGAAGCGGAGUAAGUUAGUCCUUCUAAACCUUGGGUACAUAUUGACCAUUUAAUUUCAUCUUUUCUAGAUAUUGCUCAUAAUUAUUUCAAAAUUCUUAUUGUGGUUUUGACCAAAAAAAUACUGCAAUAUUAACACUUUUAGAUUGACCUGAAAUAAAAAAUGAUGUUUCAAAUGGAUUGGGCGAAAAGCUAAAUACAAGCUAACAAAAGAAAUAAAUGCUAAACGAAUUUAAUACACUCAAAUAAAAUGUUUGUACAUUCAUGAAUUGUCAGACAAAAACAUAUAUAUUUCAGGUUCACGUUUGUGCGGCAUUCCCAUUAAAAUGCCCAGAACCAGCACAGUGGUCACUCCGGGCUAAAAGUCAUUGUCCUGAUCCAUCUAAGUAUUUCUGCCUGAAGAAUGAUCUCAUAAACGGAUAUUCUGAAAAUUGCACAGUAUUCGAUUUUCUACAGCCAGGUAAAUUAUUUUUUUUAUGUAUCUACCCUUACAGCAAAAUGAUCCCUUUAACUGUUUCCAAAUGAUUUAAUCAGACCUUACAUCAAUUUAUCUCAAUUCUGACGACAUAUAUGUUACAAAAACCUGAAUUCAAAUAAAUGACGGUAGGAUGUUUCCUUUACAAAUAAUUCAUUAAACAAAGAUGUUAUUUUUUUUACUUUAAAAAUCAUAUUUAAUAUAACUGAUUCCCUCAACCACUAUAUGACACUAUAUUUAAGUCUUUGAAUAUUUCCCUACAGGUAGAAAAAAUGUUCUUCGUGGAGGAUUAGAUGCAGA